This 717-nucleotide long non-coding RNA is filed under the name Homo sapiens (human). RNAcentral's name for it is "HSALNT0340601". Lineage: Eukaryota; Metazoa; Chordata; Mammalia; Primates; Hominidae. The record is from RNAcentral.
UGUGUCUCUAUGCAUGGAGUAAGAAAGAAACCAUCCUACAAUAGCACCAAAUCCAGCAUGGAUGGCUGUGUUGGUGCAGGACUUUCACAUGUCUUUGGAGUAGAAUAAGAUGUGCCAAUCCAGACUCAACCCCAUCUCAUCAAGAUCCAGUGAUCUUCGUUUUCCGAUUGUCUAGCCCAAGCUCUCUUCCUCCCCAGACUCAUCCUCCACCCUGCUACUGGACUUGUCUUUGUACUCUCAAAGCAGUGUGAGGAGAUUCAUCAACCGGUGGUGUGGACAUGUGAACAGCGUGAGGCAGAGAGUUAUAAGCUUCUUGAGGGUGGCAGCCAGACAGUAGCAGUUUGUGUGCAAAGCCCCUGCAGUGGCAUAUGGAAGACUUUCAAUACAUCAGGACCAGAGGAUGAGCUGGAAAUGAAAUCACACUCACUGGUGGGAGAAAACCAAACUUGAUGACAGAGGACCAGUAAAGGAAGCAGCUUGAGUAUGUGUCCUCAGAUGCAGACACAAGGCCUUGCCUUCCUGGAUGAGACAGGCACUGACUGGAGCAGGGUUUGCCAGACUCAAAGGGCCACAUUUUAGGGACAGUCUAAAAUGUGGUAUAUGGACAGUCUGGCAGUGGUAUGUAGAAUGGGUUAAAACUGGAAGACUGGGCUGGGUAUGGUGGUGCAUGCCUGUAAUUCCAGUACUUUGGGAGGCUGAGGCAGGAGGAUUGCUUGA